This 676-nucleotide ribosomal RNA is filed under the name Escherichia coli. RNAcentral's name for it is "bacterial SSU rRNA". It matches the Rfam family "Bacterial small subunit ribosomal RNA", at positions 50 to 715 of the family's 1533-position model. The record is from RNAcentral. Lineage: Bacteria; Pseudomonadati; Pseudomonadota; Gammaproteobacteria; Enterobacterales; Enterobacteriaceae.
AACACAUGCAAGUCGAACGGUAACAGGAAGCAGCUUGCUGCUUUGCUGACGAGUGGCGGACGGGUGAGUAAUGUCUGGGAAACUGCCUGAUGGAGGGGGAUAACUACUGGAAACGGUAGCUAAUACCGCAUAACGUCGCAAGACCAAAGAGGGGGACCUUCGGGCCUCUUGCCAUCGGAUGUGCCCAGAUGGGAUUAGCUAGUAGGUGGGGUAACGGCUCACCUAGGCGACGAUCCCUAGCUGGUCUGAGAGGAUGACCAGCCACACUGGAACUGAGACACGGUCCAGACUCCUACGGGAGGCAGCAGUGGGGAAUAUUGCACAAUGGGCGCAAGCCUGAUGCAGCCCUGCCGCGUGUAUGAAGAAGGCCUUCGGGUUGUAAAGUACUUUCAGCGGGGAGGAAGGGAGUAAAGUUAAUACCUUUGCUCAUUGACGUUACCCGCAGAAGAAGCACCGGCUAACUCCGUGCCAGCAGCCGCGGUAAUACGGAGGGUGCAAGCGUUAAUCGGAAUUACUGGGCGUAAAGCGCACGCAGGCGGUUUGUUAAGUCAGAUGUGAAAUCCCCGGGCUCAACCUGGGAACUGCAUCUGAUACUGGCAAGCUUGAAGUCUCGUAGAGGGGGGUAGAAUUCAGGUGUAGCGGUGAAAUGCGUAGAGAUCUGGAGGAAUACCGGUGG